This 305-nucleotide ribosomal RNA is filed under the name uncultured bacterium. RNAcentral's name for it is "bacterial SSU rRNA". It matches the Rfam family "Bacterial small subunit ribosomal RNA", at positions 335 to 658 of the family's 1533-position model. The record is from RNAcentral.
GAUCCUACGGGGGGCAGCAGUGGGGAAUAUUGCACAAUGGGGGAAACCCUGAUGCAGCAACGCCGCGUGGGUGAAGAAGUAUUUCGGUAUGUAAAGCCCUAUCAGCAGGGAAGAGAAUGACGGUACCUGACUAAGAAGCCCCGGCUAACUACGUGCCAGCAGCCGCGGUAAUACGGAGGAUGCGAGCGUUAUCCGGAUUUAUUGGGUUUAAAGGGUGCGCAGGCGGCACGGCAAGCCGGCGGUCAAAUCGCGGGGCUCAACCCCGCCCAGCCGUCGGAACUGCCGGGCUAGAGUGGGCGAGAAGG